GACGAACGCUGGCGGCGUGCUUAACACAUGCAAGUCGAACGGAAAGGCCCUGCUUUUGUGGGGUGCUCGAGUGGCGAACGGGUGAGUAACACGUGAGUAACCUGCCCUUGACUUUGGGAUAACUUCAGGAAACUGGGGCUAAUACCGGAUAGGAGCUCCUGCUGCAUGGUGGGGGUUGGAAAGUUUCGGCGGUUGGGGAUGGACUCGCGGCUUAUCAGCUUGUUGGUGGGGUAGUGGCUUACCAAGGCUUUGACGGGUAGCCGGCCUGAGAGGGUGACCGGCCACAUUGGGACGGAGAUACGGCCCAGCCCCCUACGGGAGGCAGGGGGGGGGAAUAUUGCCAAAGGGGCGGAAGCCUGAUGCAGCAACGCCGCGGGGGGGAGGACGGCCUUCGGGUUGUAAACCGCUUUCGCCUGUGACGAAGCGUGAGGGACGGGAAUGGGUAAAGAAGCACCGGCUAACUACGU
This 467-nucleotide ribosomal RNA is filed under the name uncultured bacterium. RNAcentral describes it as "partial 16S ribosomal RNA". It matches the Rfam family "Bacterial small subunit ribosomal RNA", at positions 28 to 506 of the family's 1533-position model. The record is from RNAcentral.